This 21703-nucleotide long non-coding RNA is filed under the name Populus trichocarpa (black cottonwood). RNAcentral describes it as "long non-coding RNA (PTRI_LNC003482)". The record is from RNAcentral. Lineage: Eukaryota; Viridiplantae; Streptophyta; Magnoliopsida; Malpighiales; Salicaceae.
GGAUCUGGAAGCAAAAGUUGAAUUUGAUCUGAAUGAAGGCUUUAUUUCUGAUGAUGGGAAAUAUGGGGAGUCGAGUGACUUGAGAGCACCUGGAUGCUCUUCUGCGAUUCAGCUAGUUAGCCCUUUGCCCUUACCUGUUUCUUCUGUGUCUAGUGGGCUUCCUGCUUCCAUUACAGUAGCUGCCGCUGCAAAAGGGCCCUUUGUUCCACCAGAGGAUUUACUUAAGAGUAGACGGGAGCUUGGUUGGAAGGGAUCGGCAGCCACAAGUGCAUUUCGGCCAGCUGAACCUAGAAAAGCUUUGGAGAUUCCAUUAGGUACAGCUAAUAUCUCACUACCUGAUGCAAUGGUUUCCAAGCCUGGUCGCCCCCUGUUAGAUAUUGACUUGAAUGUUCCUGAUGAAAGAAUCCUUGAGGAUUUGGCUUCACGAAGUUCUGCUCAGGAGGCAGUUUCUGUUUCUGACCUUGCAAAGAACAAUGAUUGUGCACGUGAUGCACUGAUGGGUUCAAUAUCUGUUCGAAGCUCUGGGGGACUUGAUCUUGAUUUGAAUAGAGCAGAUGAAGCUAGUGAUAUUGGUAAUCACUUAACAAGCAUUGGCCGGAGGCUGGAUGCCCCACUACAUCCCGCCAAAUCAUCUGGUGGUUUUCUAAACGGAAAGGUUGGUGGUUGCUGGGACUUUGAUUUGAAUGAUGGCCCUCUUGUCGAUGAGGUGAGUGCCGAACCAUCACAACUUGGGCGGCAUACCCAAAACAUUGUGCCAUCCCAACCAUCAAUUUCUAGCCUUCGAAUGAACAGUACAGAAAUGGGAAACUUCCCGUCCUGGUUUCCUCAAGGGAAUCCGUAUCCUGCUGUCACAAUCCAAUCUAUCUUGCAUGAUAGAGGAGAGCAGCCUUUCCCUAUAGUUGCAACUGGUGGGCCUCAACGGAUCUUGGCUUCCUCUACUGGCAGCAACCCAUUUAAUCCUGAUGUCUACAGGGGAGCAGUGUUGUCGUCCUCUCCAGCAGUGCCAUUUCCAUCUACUCCUUUUCAGUAUCCUGUCUUUCCUUUUGGGACCAGCUUCCCUCUUCCCUCAGCUACAUUUUCAGGUGGUUCAGCAUCGUAUGUGGAUUCAUCAUCUGGUGGGAGGCUUUGCUUUCCCACAGUACCUUCUCAAGUAGUAGCGCAAGUUGGUGUGGUCUCAUCCCAUUAUCCAAGGCCUUAUGCUGUUAACCUCCCAGACAGUAACAAUAAUGGUGCUGUGGAGAGCAGUAGGAAAUGGGUAAGGCAGGGUCUAGAUCUCAAUGCCGGGCCUCUAGGUGCAGAUAUUGAAGGUAGAAAUGAGACCUCAGCUCUUGCAUCGAGGCAGCUGUCUGUUGCCAGUUCACAAGCCCAUGCAGAGGAGCUAUCGAGGAUGUAUCAGGCGACUAGUGGAGGUUUUCUUAAGAGGAAGGAACCAGAGGGUGGAUGGGAUGGUUAUAAGCAAUCCUCCUGGCAGAAGGGAUGAAUAAUGACACAAUGCAGUGAUCCACCUGUAAGUUUUUGUCAUGUUCUGUAAAUAUAUGUGCUCUUUGUGUUUCAUGAUUUGAAGCUGUGCUAUAGCCUUUUCUUUUCUGAUCAAGUGGAGGGGGAAAUGUUUUUUCUAACUUGCAUUCUUUUGGGCAUGAGUUGCACUUAGGUUCCUGUUCACAGGUCAAGUAAUUGUGUUUAUAUUUUCGUUGUGUUUUCAAUUACAGUUCUCCUGGUUGGAUGUUGGCUAACUCCAAAAGAUCGUCUAACUUGUGAUCUCAAGGAUGGGUGGUAAGUGAGUUAUUUAAUGUUCAAUCUCCAACCAUAAGUGAGUUAUUUAAUGUUCAAUCUCCAACCACCACCCUGUCGCUGUACCGUUGUAACUUAAAAAAGGAAUCUUUCCAGGGUCAUUAAGUGUUAUAUUCUUGAAUUUGUACUGGGUGGCUCAGUUCACCGUCCCCUUUGUAGAUAUUUUAACCAAUGGAAAACUUGCAUUCUGUGACCGUGUUGCCCAGACAUUUGAAAUUGGUGUCCAUAUGUCUAUCGGAUCGACAAUUUAUACUGCUGGAUGCAAAAUCAUCCUUUUCCAACCAUUCUGAGAAUUAGGAGCCCUUUGUAUGUGCUCUGUUGUUAAGCAAUCUUUCUUCAUUUAUCUUUUCAUUUUCUCUUUUAAAGACGUACAUGUAAGCAGAUUGGUUCAUGAAUUUUGGUGCUCAAGCCUUUCUUGCUCUGGCAUAUGGUUUAGUUGGAUGCUGUAUUCCUUUUAAUUUAUUCUAUUUUUGAACCUGGUGUAGAUUAUUUGCUACACACCGAGUUCUACCCAACUUUGCUACUACCUUCGCAUAAUGGUGUCUGAACUCUAAACUAAUAUGGGUUUGUUUGUGACAUUUUCCCAUUUGUGGCCCAUAUUUGUUCAAAAAUAUUGCUCCUGCUAUCAUGUUUGAAAAUUGGCCUUUGUGCCAUCAGUUCUUGGUGUUGGAUUGUGUCUUUAAGGAUAAGAGGUAGCUGUUAACAGUUCAAUUUUUCUGUGUCAUGUAAGUUUGGUUGAAGCUUUGCGAGGAUGGUUCAUUAUGGAAAUUGUAUUUGUAUUUUUGUUCAGGUUUCAAUUUUGAGGACGGAGAUUCAAAUUAAAACUUUUGAACCACUAUAAUCGGAGAAAUCUGAUCCAGAGUUGGAAUGCAUCUCGAAAAUCUUCAAGGUCAAGGGUUGUCCCCGUGUUGCAGGUUCAUGUUUUUGGAGGCGUUAGGUGAUAAGAAUGGGCAUGGUGUUGCGCAUUAAAGCCUAAAUCAUUUCAAACUAUCUUUAUCUUGGUUCUAUAGCUUGUGUUUUUGGUCUACCCAAUCUUAUAGCAAUUGCAUAUUAAUAAAUCCAACUGCUUUGAUGGCGUGCUGAUGCUCAAGUAUCAGGCAACGUUGCAACCCCAAAAUUUGGGGCUGUUGCUUCCAUAAAGACUGGCUAUGGGUGGGACGCUCUCCCCUUUUCUUUCCUUCCCGUGGUUGCAUAACCCUUACCCUGAAUCAAGUUCCAACAAAAUACCAUUGGCUACGGGUGGGAUGAUCUCUCCACACAUUCUAUCUCAAUACACCUAUUAAAACCCUUAUAUUGCACGAUGAACCAAUAAUCUCCAUGAGAUUUUGUUCUUGUUGUCUCUUCCAUAUUACGUAUCAAUACACCUAUUUGAACCUUUGCACGAUGAAUAAAUAUUAAAUCUAUGACUUUUGUGUCUCCCUCUCUUUUUGUCAAUCUGUUUACACAAGGUAGAUAACAAAGAUUUUUCAUUGCAAAAUGGGAAAAGAGAGCUUAAAAUUGAUCAUGAAUAAGAAGAAUUGACUGAGGUGAAAGAGUAUCAACUAAAAAAGUGGAAUAGAAGGAGCAGUUAACUAGUCCACCAAGAGACUAAAAGUCACAAUCGCUCAAAAGGAACUGAUCAACCAAUGAAGUAUGGAUGUCUGCAUAACCAAGCAUAUAUAGUCCUAUUUAAAAUGCGAGUCCUCAACAUAAUGAUUAAUAAGAAGCCAGAGAUUAUGCUAGAAAUCAUAUAUAUCUGUUUUUUUAACAAAAUAAAUAACAAUCACAACACAAGCAUCAACUAGAAUCACUUCCCCGACAACGAUACCAAAAUUUAUUGCAAUGUCGCAGUCACACAAAUUAAUUACCCUAACUUAAACAAACAAGAUAGUAUAGAGCAAGUAAGGGGUUGAUUCCACGAAGAAGAUCUAGUUCAGGUCUUUAUACUAGAUUAUUCAAAGUUGGGGGGUUUUGAGGUUAUCUAGGCUAUGUUAUGGUAAACAGAACGAACUAAUCAAGCUAAAUUAAAUAAAGUAAACAUCCACCUAUAAAAAUCAAAAUUGAUCACUGAAACGAUACGCCAAUUUAUAUUCUGAAUAUCUAUCUUUCCUUAACAUUAGUUAGUUAACCGAUCUGCAGUGUAACUAACGUUAACCAUUAAACAACCACAAUGUCCGCACUAAUAAUUUAAUUCAAUGGCAGCCUUAAGAACUAGAUAGUAGAUAGGUUGAUAAAUCUAGACAACUUAACCGUAUGUAAUUUAUGUUCGAUUGAAUUGAACGUUUUUCCUAAGAUUAAAACUCCGGUUUUGAUUAUUAAGCUUAAUCGCUUCACAAGUUCAAAUAUCAUAACUCUGGUCUUGAUAGCAAACUUAGCAGUAGAUUGGUUUAGAAUAAUAAUUUACAGUCUGCUCUAACAAUCAAACUAAACAAUUAUAAAAAAUAAACAUAGAAAAACAUUCAUACUCAUCAUAUAAAUUGAAAAGAAAAAAUAUAAUAGAUCUUAUAGUUUUUGAAAUCCGAAGGUUUCUAUAUCCUUUCAACCAAGAAAAAUAACUUGCCUUGCAUUUCUAUUGAAAAACUAAUGAAUAGAACAGAUGGGAGCAUAAUUUUGGGUAUAAGAGAAAAGGGUGGAGUUUUUCUUUUUCUUUCUGGCCGCCCCCUCUCUUUCUUUCUCUCUUUCUUUUUUAUUUGAUAGGAAACCCUAAUCCCCACAUCCCUCAAAUUCAUUUGUAUUCUCCUAAAAAAUAUAAAAAUAGUCAUUUCCAAAGUAAACAAUCUACAUUUAAGUAAGUUGGAUUUAUUUCUUCACAAAACCUGUUUGUUGGUAGAAUUUAAAAGUUGUCUUAGAAAAAUCACAUAUUUCUCAUAUGAGCUCCUUUUCUUCUGAAAUUUGGUAGGAUGAUAGGUCUUUGAGUCAGGAAUCUAAAAAAAUUGAGUUUGCAUCAAAUGAACUUCUUUAACUCAAGAUAUUCAAGUUGGAAUGACCGAAUGUCAAAAUUGGCAAAAUAUGAGACUUGUCUUUGAAGGAUGCGAUUUCCAUCCUCUUUAUUUUUUUUUUAUUUUUCUUUCCAUAUAUUUAUAGAAAGGUAUGGAUGUUAGCUUUCUAAUUCCACUGGAAUCACUUCAUUUCAACCUCUACAACUCAAAUUCUGCAUAAAACAUCGAUCAGAUGUCAAAUCUGCCAAUAUUCGACACGGGUUGGAAUAUGGUUUGAAUUUUAUCUUCAAUUUACUUCUUUUCGAAUCUCACAUCCAAAAGUACCUUCAAAAUAUAAAACAAAGAUUAUCAAGACAUUUUAUAUAUAAAACAUGAACAAAUACUAGGUAAAUAUGAGUAAGACUAUAGAAUAAUAUGAUUGCAUCAAUAGGGUUAGAAUUACUUAUGUAAGUAGGAUCCAAAGUUUUUAAUAAUAUAAAUAGAGCCAGAUACUAUUUUAAAUGAUGAUUAACCCUAUAUAUUCAAAAUUUUGAAAUUCUAACAGUUUUUUUUUCUUGGAUGGUUUUAUCACCUUUAUUGUUUUUCUUAAUGCUUUGUUAUUUUUCAACACUUAAAUUUCCUUCAUUCUUUUUUAUAACUCGUGUUUUCUUUGCACAUCGAAGUUUUAAGUACAUAUUACCUUUACUGAGUGUCCAAGGUCUAGAAUCCUCACUUUGCUUGGUUAGAGGUAGUUGUUGCCUCGUCGAAGAUUCAAUUCUAAGUAUAGUUAAUUGAUAACAUAAAAGAUUGGCAUGACUAAUAGGAUAAAAAUUCAAAAUAUAUUCUAGAAGCCAUUAAAACACGCUUCUAAAAAAGUAUAGGUAAACUCAUCUCUAUUGCUCGAAAUGAAUAGUUUGCACAAGCAACGGAGACAUGCUAGCCUUUUAACUGUGAAGAGCCUAAAAACCUACUAUUUCUUUAGAUUUUAGAGAAUCAACCAGUGACAGACGUGCCCAAAGAUGGGUCUUUAUUGUCUAACUCACCAUUAUAACACAAAAUUACAUCUAAACACACUUCUAGUGUCUUUAUGUAGUCCUUUACGUUUAUUGAUUCUAAUAGGGUCAUCACCACUAAUCUUAGAUGACUAUAUUGAUAAAUCAAUACCCAAUACGUAACCAUACAUACAUAUAUUAAGUAUAUCAAAUUGUGUGCUAUGAUGAAUUGAUGAUCACAACUAGUUGUGGUAAAUUCCAGUCAACCAACAAGGUUGCUUAUGAAAAUAUUGUAACACCCCGCCAAAAAGAGGAUAUUAAAACAUGAAAUUUUACAGCAAUUUUACACAUUUCCAUUGAAUAUAAGCCUUUAUUAUGACAAUUUGUUUUUUUACACUUAUACAUGUAGUCAUUCUCCUUUAUUUAUUAACAAUUUUACUAAAAGUUUUACAGAGUUUCCUCUAUAUUUUAACAUACCAAGUUAUCAACUACUCCUUCCAUGUUACAAGUCAUUAUUACAAACAUGGUUCAAUUGUCCUAGACCUUAUUUCACAUCAUUUUAACCAAAAAUCAACCCCAUAUAUUCUUUCAACCCUUACUAUAUCUUGUACCAUUCAGUAAUUACAUCAUGUUAAUCCCAUAAAAAAUUAAUUAUAAAUAAAAUCUAAAAGAUUAAUAAAUCCAGUCUCAUACGCUUAUAUUUUGAAUUAUAAAAAAAAAGGUACAGUCUAACCACAUGUUUUAAACUUUUCUUCCAUGAACGUAUAUAUUAUGCUUACCUUACUCAAUCUCUAAUUAAUCCAUUUACUACUUAUGCGUACCUUUUAUUUUUGUUUGUUUAUUUUUUAUAUGAAUUAAAAUUAAUGUCCAACAUACAACGUGGUUAUAUUAUUGAUGCAUGCUAUGGAAAAAUCAUGUAAGGAUAUACACCAACUUGCAUAAUAAUAUUUUAUAUAUGGAUUUCAUACACAAUUCCAAACAUAGAUAGAAAAUAUCAUUAAAGAAGAAGGGAGAGUAAGAGAGAGCUUUUAGUUAGGUCCACAAAAUUAUUUACAUGUACAAUAUAAGUUCUGAAUCUAAAGGCCAACUAUAACCUAACAAUUAGGUUCGCCGAUACGAAAAGGUCUUGUAACAAAAAUUUAUUAAGAAUAAGUUCGUAUUAUAAUAUAAUUUGUCUUCUAAACAUAUAUGAAAGUGGGAGCACCAAUUCUUAUUAUCCAACCCUAUAGAAAGUUUCAUGAACAAUAGUUAUAAAUUUCACAAUAAUAACACACAAAGAUAUUUGUACUCGACAUGAGUAAGGUCUUACUCUCAAGUUCAAGUCAAUUAGUGUACUUCGAUUUACAUAGUUAUCAAAUAUUUCAUAACGACUUAUUAUUGACCUUUGAUUUAUCAAAAACAACUCAAUUUACCAUAAUUCUCAAAAUAGCUUAGGCAAUAACAUAACAUUGGCCUUCGUGUUUGUAAAAGUAACCAAAACAUAUUUAGUCUUUGAGAAAUUUUAGAGACUUUACAACAUUAGUUUUUGUCUCAGCAAAAGCAACUCAAUCACAUUGAUUUCCGUACAACUUUCAAAAACAAUUUCAACAUUGGCUUUUGUAUUUAAGAAGGAAAUCUAAUCACAUUGGUUUCCAAACAACUUCAUAAACAAUCACAACAUUGGCUUUCAUCUUGGCGAAAGCAACCCAAUCACAUUAGUUUCCAAACAACUUUGAAAACAAUCACAAUAUUAUCUUUCAUCUUGGUGAAAGCAACUCAAUUACAUUGGUUUUCAAAUAACUUCGAAAAUAAUCAUAACAUUGGUUUUUAUCUUAGUGAAAGUAGUCUAAUCGUAUUUUUAUUUCACGUAACUAUUUACAAUUCAUUUGGAUUCAUUUCAUACAUAGCAUUUAUAGUUACAACAAAAAACUUAAUUGACAUCAUAAAAUUAUAGGUAAGACUCUACAUACCUUCUCCUCCAGUCGAGUGAGCUCCAUCAACAGAAGAUCUUAUCCCCUUUGAACCAUACAAAUACUUUCUAUUAAUACAUUAUUUACAAUCCAAAUACUCAUUGUUCGUAUAAAAAAUAAUUCUUUUAAUUUCAUACUUAGACUCACUAUGUUUAACAAUUUAUAACAAGGUAUCAGAAAACUGUUUAUUUACUCCUCACCAGAGUUGUUGAACUCAAUUUUAAACGAGGUCUUUUUUUUUAGUAUGCUAAGACACAAAUACACAACUUUGGUGAAAAUGGUUAAACCUAAUUUUGCCAUUUACACACUUAAACUCAUUGAAAUACAAUGGUAUAUCAAUCUGCCCUAUAAGAUACAACCUUACUUUUCUCUAGUGUUCUAUCCAUAUUUGGAGUUAUAUAACUUUAAAUAGGGUAAGAUUUGUUUCAUGCGGAAUCUAACAUCACUAACCACAUUUUCCAUGAAGACAUUCACCUCAAAUUUUCUCAUUUGUGAAUCUCAAUUUCAGUUUAAAGUUUGACAUUAAUUUUGUCCAAUAGCUUCCAAUCUGACCUGUCUUCACUCAAACCUCCCUGACACUCUCAAGAAUUGAUUUGCAUGUGUUUCUCUCUACAAUAUCUUUGAGAGAUAAGUGAUAGAGAAGAAAAUGGCUCCCCCUCUUUUUUCUUUUGUUUUCUGUCGUCAAACUCUUGUUCUUCCUAGGUAUGACGGGUUUUCUCUUUUUUUUUGUCCCUCACUUAUUCAUGUCUUUUUAAUUUAGUCCCUAAUUCUUUAUGUUUCUCACACUAGGCCCUACUCUCAUCUUUAUACAUUUUAUCCUUCUCUUUUUACUUAUGUUUACCUUUAGACUUUAAGUUAAGAAUUUUGUGCCUCACUAAUGACCUCUUCUUCAAUUAAUUAAAUUCAUUCAUUCAUUUUCUAGGGGCUUGCAAAGACAAUCUUAUUAUCAACAUAUAAAUCUCUCUAAUGUUGAUAUGAGAGCUUUCUAAAUAGAUAUGGGGAAAACAAUUAUCAUAACCUGUCACAACAACAUAGUGGUGGUAAACCGAAUCAUGCAUGCAUAUCUUAUUAGUUGAAUAAGUUACAAAAUGAACUUUAUUAGAAAAUACCUUAUAACAUAAGUAUACACUUCUAAAAGGAAAAUCCGGGAUUCUAUAAUAACGAGCACUCUAUUAAGGGUGUAUGGAUUGAGUAUACCUCUUAUAAAAAGGUAUUUUUUAGCAUAUCAAGCACAAUAAAAGAUGUAGCUUAUCCCUAGCAUGAUAACUCUUGAUAAGCCAAUUUUUUCUCAAGCUUACAAACAACCAUAAGCCAACUACUUAGCCCUGCAUAGCUUCUAUCAAAUAGCAUAACUUGUUACUAGGCAAUUCUAUACCCAAUAACCUGUUUUACAAUAAGGAAACCUCAAUCUUCUAGCACAACAAUUCCCUUCUACAUAUCAGUAAUAGAGAAGAGAGAUAAAUAGAGCAUAACUAAAUCAACAUUUAAAAGAGAUAGGACUGAAAGUAAGAUGAACAAUAAGAUUUGUUUGCAAUUAUUUAUACUCUAAAUGGGUUGAUAGAUUGUACGUGAUCACUAGAGAAAUAAAAAUUAUUGAUUUCAAAUAUUUUUUUCUAAAAGGAUAAACAAUCAAUAAGGAAGCACAUCACUAAUUUACUAAUCAAUAUAGUGAUAAUACAGUCAACCCUUUCAAGAAGCUAAGGUCAUUUGGUUUAUCAGUAACCAAAAUAGCUUUUCACUAAUACUCCACAUUGCCACCCAACUCGAUCAACAGUUAGAAAGAGAUGAAACUCGUUUUCAUGAACACUUUUAUAUAAUAAUAUAAGAGAUUACAUUAUAUGACUUGGUUAAAAUAGUAUAGGACCUAAAAGAGGUAAUAGAAAACUAUGUCUUACAAUUUAAGAUAUUGAAAACUAAAUUCACUAUAGUUAUAUUUAAGUAAAAGUACAUGAAGUUAUUGCUAGUGAGAAUGUAGUUAAACAUAAGGAAAAGUUUUGUAGGAACCAAAUAUUUAGACAUAUAUACCCUCACAAAUAAUAUUGCCCAUUAUGAGAAAAUGCUAGUAAAAUAGGUAAAAGAGAAACCACAAAGGGGGACUUACUUUAUUGGUUAUUUAUACAAUGUCGUAAAUGUUUAUUCACUAAUUAAUUUAGAUUCUAAUAAAGAAUUUAAGGAGGUUUAAUAGCAACUCAUAUCAGUCACUAAAAUAAAAUAUGAAAGACCAUUUAAGAUCACAAUAUUAAAAAAAAAAAUCUAAAAAGGCUCCCAAACCUGGUAACAAAAAAGUCAAAGUUUUCAAAGCAAUUAAAUAUAAUAAGCACAUUUUUAAUAUCAAAAGAGUUAAAAAGAUCUUGAUCAGUUGAUGUGUGGGUGAACAUUAAGCUCUUUAGCAAUCACAUAACCUUUAUCAUUAAUCAAAUCAAGAGGAAAUAAUAUUAUAAAUGGCAUGACUUUUAGAAAUACGACACUAAUAGUUAUGUAGUAUUUAGAAAUUAAGCUUUAGAAUUUGAAUGCAAUCAUGUUCUAAAAAAAGAUGAUAAAAGUGGAUGAUGAUCUAUUCCUUAAAGUCAAUAUAAUAUUUGUUAUCUCAAAUCAUAAUGGGCUUAUUAGAAAGGAAGAGCCUCAAAAGAAAAGGGUUGAUUGGUCAUGACAAACGAUGAAGUAAGUCACAAAUCCUAGGAUUGGGAAAAAAUAUAUAGAUGAUGGAAAAUCCAAAUGGGUGGUUUGACAAGCCCAAUAUAUGCUUUAUAAUGAGGUAUAUAGAUGUCUUACCUAUCUUAUAAUUCUCUUAAAGGGUGCAAACUUGAGGAUAAUGUUAAGCAAGUAAUGUCUUUAUAACAUGCCAAGUCAUUUAGACCUAAGAGACCAGCUGACAAUAAUUGGCAUAAACGUCAACCAUAAUAAAAGUCAUUUAAACCUAGUAAUAACAUGAAAAGGAAAAAUCAUAGUUGAGUAUGUUAGGCUUGCCAUGACAACAACAAAAAAAAAGCAAAAUAAACACAUUUUAAGGACCCCAAUAAAAAGGUAAUAUUAAGGAUGUUGUACAAAAUAAAAUCAGAAAAAAUGAUGAGAAAACUAAAUAUGCAAUCUAUAAAGCAUGUAACGUAUAAUGUACAAUAAAUAAAAAAUUAUAUCAUGCAACUAACUCGCUAUUACAAAAUUCAAUGCCCUCAACCCAACAAAAAAAUGUAAACACGAAAAAAAAAACCACAUGCAAUAGGCACACUAUAAAAUGAAGAAACUAAUCAUGAAAGCAAAUAACUUUAACACUACUACCCCUAAAAAACAAAGAUAUAAAAAUGACAAUUCACAUAAAAAUAAAAUCCUAAAAACUACUUUUUUAAACCACAAAGAUAGAAAGAAAAAAAAACCUUAUUAGAAAGCUAAACGACAUGCCUAGAAAGAUGAAAGAAGAAAGAACAAUAAACAUUGAGAAAUAAUAAGUCAGAUAACCACCUCUUUAUGAACAACCUUAUUAAACCAAAGGAAAAGAUUCUAAAGCAUUACAAAUACAUGCCAAGACUCAUCAAGAAAGAAAUCAAAGUUUAAAUGUGUAAGAUAGACAGAAACACACAAUGAAAAAAACAUAUUUAACUUAUUAAUGUAGUUGUGUACCCUUAAAAUAACAAUCUUACAACUUACUAAAAAAAUGGUAGAGAUUUUAAAUCUUAUUAAGGUAGUGAUUUUUAAAAGAUAAAACUAGAAAAUGACAGCCCCUAUUUAAAAGCAAGAAUACCAAAAAUAAAGGUUGAAAAUGGAUGUAAACACAAAUAAACAAACAUUCACAAAAGAAAAAGGAUUUUAAAUGUAAAAUAGAAUAAUUCAUAAAAAAAAUUGCAUGAUCGACCAACAAACCAGUGUAGGAUUAUUAAGAAUCAUAAAAUAACCAACCAACUGAACAAACACAAAUCUCAAAGGCUAUUAUUCAAACAAAAACCUCUAUAAAAAAAUUUAGCCACACCCCCACCCCUACCUUAAACACCUUUAGACAUGUUGAAUCUUUAAAAAAUAAACAACCCACCCAUGACCUAGAAGCUAAUAAUAUGAAGCAAACAAAAAUAAAAAAUAGAAAGAAAACAAAGCCACAAAAUCUUUAAGAGCAAAUAAAGAGCACUGAAAUAUGCAUCCAAAAAACAAAAAAUCAAUGUCAUAACAAAGAAAAGAACAUCAAAAAGAAAACAUCCAAUAGGCCUUCAAACAACAAACAAUGAAUUUAACACACAAUUGAACUAAAAAGAUAUAAGGGGAAAAUAAACAUAGCCAACGAUAAAACAAACAACAUACAUACUCAAUAACCAAUGAGAAAGAAUUAAAAGAGACUUACAUUGCACAUCAUAACCCUGGUCCUAAAGAAUAAUAGCCUUGCAUAAAAAAAAAAAGAAACAGAACAAGCUCCGAAACAAAAGAACUAAUACAAAACUUGCCAAGUAAGGAAAGGGGAAAAAUUUUCAGGGAAGACAAUAUAGCACCAACAAUAAAACCAAGUAACAAAUAACAUGAAGAGGAUAAAUCACAAACAUCAUAGCUAUGAGUAAGCACUCACAAAAUAAAAAGACAAACACAUUUCUUCCCUUAUAUAUAAAAAAAAAGUUUAAUCCCUUAAAACUAAGCAUUCUAAUCAACCUAUGCAAAGAAACUUUAAAAGAAAAAAUCAAACCAAUCACCCCAAAAAUCAACAAACACCCAUUAAAAUCAAACAAAAAAAAGCUUGGAUAAUGACCUAAAAAAACUUUCUUGCUUUGAUUUUAUGGUUGUGUUUGUGUGUAUGUGUGUGUGUGUGAGAGAGUGAGAGAGCGAGAGAGAGAGAGAGAGAGAGAGAGAGUCUGAGAUGAUAAGGGAGUAGACUCUGUUGUUGUGAUAAAGAUUGUUGGUAAAAGAGAGACCACAUCAUUGGUUUAAAGAGGAAAGAUGAAUAGAUGAAAGAAAGAAGAAAAGUUUAGUACAGUGACUAUUAGGAAAAAGUGAAAGAGUAGAAAAAAGAGGAAAAGAUUAUAGUGGUCAUUUGGCCACGUCUCCCUAGAACAAUUAAAGAGGAAAGCAAUACAAAUCCAUUAUCCUUUCUCUCUAUGUAUACAAUGAAAUCAAAAUAAAAUUUAGUUUUCUUUGUAAUUGUAAUUGUAAUUGUAAUAAUUAUAAUAUAAUUAUAAUUAUAAAUUAUAAUGUUAAUCAAUUUAUCUAAAAAAGGGUGUGUCAUCAUAUUAUAUGAACACAUGAAAACACAUUUCCACGUGUUAUCGUGUUAGAAAUAUCAAAUUCUAAAAAAGGUACAAGAAAAAUGAUCUUUUAUGUAUUAAUUCUUAUAUGAAAUAAUUUUCUUUAUAUUUGAUUAAGGAGAGAUUUUGUUGUAAUGAGUGAAAGUUGAUUGGAGAAUAUCUUUUUGUUAAGACUCAUUAUCAUGAUAGAUUUAGAAAUUGGUAAAUAAUGAAGUCAUAUAUAUGUUGAAAAUAUAUUAAGAUAAAACUAGAUGUAUGUUUGGCAAUAUGAUGCAUGUGUUUUUGUAAAAAUGCAUUUUUAAAUGAAAAUCAACUAAUUUCAUACUUUUGUUUAGAAAAUUUUAGGGUUUCAGUCUUUUUCAUUUUAAAAUAAUCAAAAUACAAAACAAAAUUUAAUAUUUUUUUAUUUGAAACACACUUUUAGAAAACAAACUAGAUUGGUGGGUUGUACUACAUCGCGAGUAGGACCAAACUUUUCCUAACAUAAAAAAAAAUGAUGCUUAACGAUGCUAAUGGUUUUAAAGAAGUAAGAAAAAUCCAAGACUUGAAUGAUUGACUUGAAUAGUUUCAAUAAGCUUAGUUAAUUUAAUAAUAUAAUUAUAUAUAUAAAAAAUUAAAAAAAAAAAAACAACGCGACUCCUCCCGAGUCAGCUUGCCAAAUUCAUGAUCUUGUCAUGAGAUUGGGAUAACCCUAUAAAAAAAAUUAAAUUAAGUAUAAAUCUCAAUUCUUAAAUAACUCAAUGACGAAGAGAAAUUUUUUAAAAAAAAAUUCAGUUAAAAAAAUAAAUGAAAAAAAAAACUUCAAUCAACUUGUGUUUAUUUGCUAAGUCAACAACUCAAUACAUGAGAUCGAGAUAACCUCAUAUAAGAGAAAAUAAAAAAAAAUCAUGAAGUCUAAUUCUUAACAAACUCAAUAUUGAAUGGUGAGAUUGAAAAAAAAAUCAAUUAUAAAAAAGUAUCUAAAACAGAUCAAAGUCAACUCGAGAUAAUCUUUCAAACUCAUGACUCGGAUCAUUAGAUCGGGAUUACUCCAUAGAAGACAAAACAAAAUCAUGAAGUCAACUUUUUAAUCAACAAAAUAUUGAGGAAUGAAAUUGAAGAAAAAUUGAUAAAAAAGAAUCCAAAACAAAUAGCAAUAAAAAAAAAUAGAAACUAAAUUUCACAUAAAAAUAAAAUGAAACUAAAUUCUGAGAGAUGAGUUGAUAUACAAAUCAAAUAAAAAAGGAUUCAAAACAAAUAUCAAGCAAAAAAAUGAUGAUCAAAUUUGAUAUAAUAAUCAAUUGAAACCAAAAACUAAUGGAUGAAAUUAAAAAAAAAAUCAAUAAAAUAAAAGGUUCAAAACAAAACCAAUAGAAAUUAAAAAAUUGAGGUCCAAAUUCAAUAAAAAAAAAUGACAGUAUACCUUUCAAUUUUGACAGGCUUAGCUCAAAUCAUGAGGAGAGAGAGAAAAGAGAAAAGAAAAGAAAAAAGAGCCGCUAGCACCACCACACACCAUUCUAAUAUGAAGAUCUUGAAUGCGAGAAGUACCUCCCACUAGCGCACUAGUCUAAUUUGCCCUGUCCUUUUCUUUUAAUCCCUAGCAUUUAUUUUUUCAACUUGAUCUCUCAAAUCUUAAUUAUUUUAGAUCAAUAAAAUUAUAUUUUAUUUUACAAAUUCGAGUAUCAAACACAUGUCAUAUUUUCUCUCUCAAUAUUAUGGGAUUUUCCAUAUUUAGGAAAAACAAAUUAAGUCCAAUAAACAAAAAACUCAAUGCAAAAGGAUUAAAUAAAAAAGUAAGGGAUUAAGAAAAUAAAAAAGGCUUAAUCUCUCCCCUAAUUGUGCACUUCAGUCUAUAAUAUUUACAAGAAAAAAUGGACUCAAUACUUUUUUAGUAUUCAAACUUGGCUUCGUAACUUCAAUUGUUUUGAUUCAAUUUAAUUUCUUUUAAUUAUGACAAAUAGAGCAUUCAUCGAGAAUCAAUUUUAUUUCCAGACACCGUGAGUGUUCAAUACCAAGCCAACAUAAACAAAUAACAAAGCUCAAUUCUAAAAUAAUAUAAUAUUAAAGGAUAAAGUUGAAAAAAAAAUUGGUGACCAAAAUGAAAAAAGAAUCUAAAAAAAAACAUCUUGCGAAUCUACAAUGUUAUCUCUCACAUGCUACAUUACAUUAUUGAUGCUUAUUAUAUUUUUUUUCUAUUUAAAUUUAAAUUUAAACUUAAAUUCUUAAUUUUAAUUUUAUUGUUAUUUAAAAGGGUAUUUGACACAUCCUCUGCUUUUGCUUUUAGAUGCUUUUUAAAAUUUCUUUUGGCUUGAAAAAAGAUUAAAUUAAUACUUUUAGUGUUUUUUUUAUAGUUUUUAUAUGGUGGAUUUUAGUACAUUUUUAAACAAAAAGCUAUUUUGAAAAAUAUCUUGUAUCACAAUCUCAAACACCCUUUAAAUACAUUAAUAAACGGGCCAUAAAUCAUAUCUAAAAGGCAUUGUUAUGAAACUCAACCUUGGGCAUUGGCAGAGUUUCAAAUAAGCAAAACCUGAGCUUGCAUUUGGCUAAGUUAAACUCGGGCAACUUACCUAGUCAACCCGAAACCCAUGUGACCUAGCGUAACCCGGGUGGAUCCAACUUUAUUUUUUACAUUUUUUAAAAAACCCAAAAAUAUAGAAAAUUAAUUUAUAAAUACUUAGCCUCAUGUAUUCUUUUAUAGUUUACAUCUACAUGAAUUAUUUGGCAGAGUUUCAAAUAAGCAAAACCCGAGCUUGCAAUUGGCUAAGUUAAACUCGGGCAACUUGCCUAGUCAACUCGAAACCCAUGUGACCUAGCGUAACCCGGGUGGACCCAACUUUAUUUUUUAUAUUUUUUUAAAAACCAAAAAAUAUAGAAAAUUAAUUUAUAAAUACUUAGCCUCAUGUAUUCUUUUAUAACUUACAUCCACAUGAAUUAUUUCUUAAUUUUUUGAUGUGAAUUGUUUUAUAUAUAUAUAUAUAUAUAGAAAAUUAAUAUAUAAAUACUUAGUCUCGUGAGAAAGUGAGAGAGUAUAUAUAUCCAUAUAUAAAAUAUUUUUUAAUUUUUUUUAUGUGAGAUAGCUAUAUAUAGCAUACAUUCACAUGAAUUAUUUUUUAAUUUUUUGAUAUUAGAUAAUUAUAUAUAGUUUAUAUUCAUAUGAAUUGUUUCAUAACUUUUGGGAUAACUAUUAUAUACACACACGCGCAAGCAUGCACGCACAUUGAUUCUUUCAUAAUUUUUUCUUAAGUGUUAUUAAAAUCUCAAGUAUAUUUUUUUUAAAAAAAUUUAAGUUAAUCCAGGUUAACUCAUAUGAUCCAAAACCCUGUCUCUUGGCCGGGUCAAUCCCAACCCAAAAAGAUUAGAGGGUUGAAAAGAGGCAAGACUGGACCCAUUGAGAAUUUUUGACAGGGACUUGGUCCGGGUUUAUGGUUCAGUCUAUCUACCACGUACAUCUUCCCUUUUUUGCCGUCUCCCCCACUACGAUUUCUCUUCUUCGCUCGUUCGCUCGCUCUCCUUUUCUUUCUCCAUGAUUUUCUCUCUCUAGAUUCUCGAUAUCUCUCUCUCUCUCUCAAACUCAAAACAGCAUCUCUAAUUUAACGGAUCGCAUGUAUUGAUUUGCGGAAGUAAUUGAUUGUUGUCAAAUUAGGGUUUGAAUUGCAUUUAGAAAUGGUCUACGGAAGCUAGGGUUUUUUAGUUUUUCAAUUAUUUUUGGUCUUGGGUGGAUCUAGGGUUUUCGAAUUGGUGAAUUAAUUGAGGGGGAAAGUGUGAGUUAGGGUUAAGGGUUGAUGGUACUCGAAAGGAAAAAUGCAAGGCUAUGCUGCAUGGGCGGGAAGCUGAGGAGGAGAGGAAAAAGGAUCAUAUUCGGCACAUGUGGACUGCUCCCACUCGUGUUAACAACAAUUCAGUUGUAGCUGCUCCUGAUUUCGUCCCUUCUCCUCCUUCUUCUUCUUCGUUAUCUUCAGCUGAUUCUUUUUACAAGGUACUCCUUUUCUUUUGGGAUUUUUUUUGUGUUUUUUUGGGUCAUUGUUUCGAUUAUGAGAGGUAUUGGAUUGUAAUUCAUCGUACUUCUGUGUUAUUUGGAUUUGAAUGAUGGGAAAUGGGGCAAUCACUGAUUUGAUUGAUAAAAGAUGGAGAGGUUAUUUGUUUGAUAUAGGAAUUAAAGGAGCUGGCUCAGAUUUUCUUUGAUUUUUGUUAGCGUGGGAAUUCUACAAUUCAGUUAGUAUUGUGUUCGUUAUUGCAAUUCUCAGUUGGAUUUUGGGAAAUAUGACAACAAAUUAAUUUUUGUAUUGCUACAUGAUAUUGUUGCUUAAAUUCAGUUUGGAGGCAAUUUUUUCUUGUAUUUGUGAAAUUUUUUAGCAGUAGGUUUUAAGUUUAAUUUCCACUUUUGUUUUUCUUUCUUAUGACUGUUGACGGAACACUCUGCUUUGUUCCUUUUAGCUGUGCGAAGUGUAAAUUUGAAUGACUUAUCUCUCCUCAUAAUUACAUCUUAGCACAAUCAUAUGCAUUGAGGCAUUUGUAUGUAAUUUCUUUUACUGAUGAUGGCCUGGCUUAGAUUUAUUGAUAAGUGCUUAAUCAAGUAUCUAAUGAAUGAAAAUGAGAUAAGAGGACUCAUAAGCUGUGAUUUUUCAUCCAUGAAGUUCAUAAUGGUAAUUAUCUAGUGGUUUGAUGAUGGAUCUUUAUUAUGAUAUUAAUGGCCAGUUAAUGAUAUUCCAUUCAGCAAUCAUCUAUGCUAUCAAAAUGCAGGCUACAUUUUCUACUUUAGCAGAACAUUUGUUGAUGUAAUUGGUAUAAAGAUGCAUUUGUAAUAAGUUACCUAAAGUGCCCUAUGUUUUAUUUUUUUCCUUUAACAGGAUGGACGCAAGGUCAGUGUUGGAGACUCUGCUCUGUUCAAACCACCCCAGGACUCCCCUCCUUUCAUUGGAAUAAUCCAAAGGCUGACUACUGAUAAAGAGAACAAGUUAAAGUUAGGUGUGAAUUGGCUUUAUCGACCUGCUGACAUAAAGCUUGGCAAAGGCAUCCUACUGGAAGCUGCGCCAAACGAAGUAUUCUUUUCCUUUCACAAGGAUGAAAUUCCUGCUGCAUCACUACUCCAUCCGUGUAAAGUUGCCUUCCUUCCGAAAGGUGUUGAACUUCCAUCAGGGAUUUGCUCAUUUGUGUGCCGGCGAGUUUAUGACAUUACAAACAAGUGUUUAUGGUGGCUAACUGAUCAGGAUUAUAUUAAUGUGAGUUGUAGCUGCCCUUCAAGAAUUUGCUUUGAAUUUACAAUUCCAUUUGAUGGUUAACUCUUCUUUACACAGGAACGACAAGAAGUAGUGGAUCAGCUAUUAUCUAAGACACGUUUAGAAAUGCAUGCAACAGUUCAACCAGAUGGAUGUUCUCCGAAGACAAUGAAUGGUCCAACUUCAACAUCACAGGUAAAACCUAGUUCUGAUAGUGUACAGAAUAAUGCUGCCUCCUUUCCUUCACAAUCUAAGGGCAAGAAAAGGGAGCGUGGAGAUCAGGGGUCUGAGCCCAUUAAACGAGAACGUUUUUCUAAAAUGGAUGAUGUGGAUUCUGUUCAUAGACCAGAAAGCAUUUGGAAAUCUGAGAUUUCUAAAUUUACAGAGAAGGGGGGACUUGUGGAUUCUGAAGGGGUUGAGAAAUUGGUGCAUCUCAUGCUACCUGAGAGGAACGAGAGGAAAGUAGAUUUGGUUGGCCGGUCAAUGCUAGCUGGUGUGAUAGCAGCCACAGAUAAGUUUGAUUGCUUAAAUCGGUUUGUGCAGCUGAGGGGCUUGCCUGUAUUUGAUGAAUGGCUACAGGAGGUGCAUAAAGGGAAGAUUGGUGAUGGUAGUAGCCCCAAGGAUAGUGAUAGAUCUGUUGAGGAUUUUUUAUUAGUUUUGCUUCAUGCACUGGAUAAACUCCCUAUAAAUCUUCAUGCUCUGCAAAUGUGUAAUAUUGGCAAAUCUGUGAAUCAUUUGCGGACACAUAAGAAUUUGGAAAUACAGAAGAAAGCAAGGAGUUUAGUUGACAUGUGGAAGAAACGGGUUGAGGCUGAAAUGGAUGCAAAUGCAAAGUUUAGUUCUAACCAAGGUGUCACCUGGUCUACUAGAUCGCGCAUUCCUGAAGUUUCGCAGGUUGGGAAUAGACCAUCUGGUGUAUCCUCAGAGAUUGCAAUGAAGAGCUCAGUUGUGCAACUCUCUGCUUCGAAAAGUGGUCCAGUCAAGCUUGUCCAGGGGGAGACUGUGACCAAGUCUGCAUCAUCUCCAGGCCCCAUAAAAUCAACAGCAUCACCUGGCACAGUUGGUAAUAAUUUGAAAGAUGGACAGCUCAGAAAUAUUGGUGUCAGUGGCGCCUCAGAUCUACCUGCAUCUGCAGCAAAGGAUGAGAAAAGCAGCAGUUCCAGUCAGUCCCUCAACAAUAGUCAAUCUUGUUCUAGUGACCAUGCCAAAACUUCAGGAUUGCCGGGAAAGGAGGAUGCAAGGAGCUCUACUGCUGUUUCAAUGGCAACAAAUAAGAUCAUUGGUGGUUCUUUGCGGCAACGUAAAUCAGUUAAUGGGUUUCCAGGCCCAGCUGUAUCUGGGGUCCAAAGGGAUAGUGGGUCGAGCAGAAGUUCUCCCUUGCACAGAAAUCCAGGUUCAGAGAAAUUACAACAGUCCAGUUUGGCAUGCGAUCAGGCACUUGAUGUUCCAACGGCUGAAGGGUUCAGUCAUAAAUUCAUUGUUAAAAUUCCCACCAAAGGUCGCAGUCCUGCACAAAGUUCCAGUGGGGGAACUUUGGAAGACACUUCAGUCAUGAAUAGCAGAGAUUCUUCUCCUGUGCCUUCGGAGAGGCAUGACCAGUUUGAUCAUAAUUUGAAGGAAAAAAUUAAUUCAUAUCGAGUUAAUAUUGCAUCAGAUGUUAAGACCGAGUCGUGGCAAAGCAAUGAUUUCAAAGAGGUGCUGACUGGGUCAGAUGAGGGUGAUGGGUCGCCUGCCACUGUUCCUGAUGAAGAGCAUGGUUGUAUGGGUGAUGAUGCUAGUAAAUUAGGUGAAGUCUCAAAAGCUACACCCUCUUCAAAUGUGUAUGAACAUAAAUUUGGGAAGCUGCAUGAUGCAUCUUUCAGCUCCAUGAAUGCUUUGAUUGAAAGUUGUGCAAAAUACUCUGAUGGGAAUGCAUCUAUGUCAGUUGGUGAUGAUGUUGGUAUGAAUCUGCUUGCUAGUGUAGCUGCCGGGGAGAUGUCCAAGUCUGAUAUGGUUUCACCAACAGAUUCUCCACGGAGAAACAUGCCUAUCGAGCACCCCUGUGCACCAAGUGGUUCGAGAGCAAAAUCAUCACCACGUGAUGUUCCUGCUCAAAGCCAAGGUAAGCCUGUUGAUGAUGAAGAUGAGAAGCAGGGUAUUACUGUUGGUACUUCACUGUCCAAGAACAUAGGGGCUAAAACAGUUCUGUUUUCACAAGAAAAACACACAGGGGAGCUCAAUGGACCUCCCAAUUCUUCCCAUGUGGAUGGGAAGAAAAUUGCUGAACCAUGCCUAGAAAGCAAUGUGAAAUCAGAGGAAAUACUAUUAGCUGCUGUGUCCUCUGAAAGCAUGGCAGUGAAAACAUCAAAUUGUAGGGGCAAGGAGCUGUGGGAGAAAGAGGGUGGUGGCAGAUCAAAUUUAGAUGGCAUAUCUGAUGAAAAAGAAAAGUUGCAUGGUUCUGUCUUAAAUGAGAUCAACAAUACAGGAGUGCAAGAUGGGACUGAUGCAAUUGAUGUAUCAUCAACAAACCAUCCUGUAGAGACUGAUGGUGAGAACAAGAAAAAAAUGAAUAAAGAGCUGGAUGUUUCUGUUGGGGAUGAGCCAAAACCACCUGCUAUGUUGCAGUCUGAUUUUGCAAAAGGAACCAAUGAUGAAGUGCGCGAACCUUCUAGUUCUGGCAAGGAUGUGGUUUCUGAAAACAUGCAUGAUGUGAAGGCUGGUGAAACAGAUGGUAGGAGUCAUUCUACUGAGAAAAAUAAAAUUGAACAUGAAUGUAAUACAGCCUCAGCCACAACUGAUUAUGAAGGUGAGUGCAAGGUGGAGAGCUUGGGAGGCAUUCAGGUCAAUGAGCAAUGUAGUGCCAGACCAGCUGCUCACAAGGCAGCACCCACACUUGUUCAGGCACCAGAACUAGUAGUGUCAACAAGGUCAAAUUUGGCUGGCAUUGGAGCUGAUGAAACAGAGGAAUGUAUGUCUGCCCCUGCUGCUGCUUCUUCUUUAUCUGCUACAGGGGGAUCGGAUCUGGAAGCAAAAGUUGAAUUUGAUCUGAAUGAAGGCUUUAUUUCUGAUGAUGGGAAAUAUGGGGAGUCAGGUGAUUUGAGAACACCUGGAUGCUCUUCUGCGAUUCAGCUAAUUAGCCCUUUUCCCUUACCUGUUUCUUCUGUGUCUAGUGGGCUUCCUGCUUCCAUUACAGUAGCCGCUGCUGCAAAAGGGUCCUUUGUUCCACCAGAGGAUCUACUGAAGAGUAGACGGGAGCUUGGUUGGAAGGGAUCGGCAGCCACAAGUGCAUUUCGGCCAGCUGAACCUAGAAAAGCUUUGGAGAUUCCAUUAGUUACAGCUAAUAUCUCACUACCUGAUGCAAUGGUUUCCAAGCCUGGUCGCCCCCUGUUAGAUAUUGACUUGAAUGUUCCUGAUGAAAGAAUCCUCGAGGAUUUGGCUUCACGAAGUUCUGCUCAGGAGACAGUUUCUGUUUCUGACCUUGCAAAGAAUAAUGAUUGUGCACGUGAUGCACUGAUGGGUUCGAUACCUGUUCGAAGCUCGGGGGGACUUGAUUUUGAUUUGAAUAGAGCAGAUGAAGCUAGUGAUAUUGGUAAUCACUUAACAAGCAUUGGCCGGAGGCUGGAUGCCCCACUUCAUCCCGCCAAAUCAUCUGGUGGUUUUCUAAAUGGAAAGGUUGGUGGUUGCAGA